UGGCUUGUGGGGGGCGGAAAGGGCACAGGUGUGAGCCGCCUCGGGAUACGCCCACCAAAUUAAUAUGGGGAGGAGCUUAUUGAGGGCCUAGGUGUGGGAUGAAUUAUCUUCCGUCUUCUGAAGAUGCAAGGGACACGUAGGCAUUACCGACACUUAAAAAAUGGGGAAACGGACACUAAGUCUUUUUCAGGAAAUGGAUUAUUAUCCCUAAAAAAACUGAGGUUCAGACAUGAGAUAUGAUUGGCAGAAAAGUCAAGAGCAAAGUUAAGAAUAAGCUCUCAAAGGCCUAAAGGGGUCAGCCUGUCUCAUUUUAGGUCAUCUCUAGAUGAAGAUUUUCCCUUCACUCUAAGGAUCCAGUAUUGACCCCGAAAAUUAAUGUUGUCCUCUUGGAAGCUUUCACUGAACUCAAUUUCAGCCCGGCUACCCUCAGACUCCCAGUAAAAUAACUGUUGUCCAUGGAAUGUUAUCAUCUUCAUGUUGUGCAUGUCACGGAUCUGAAAGGAAAAAAGAAUAUGAGUGCGUCAGCUCAUAUGGAAGCAGUUUUUGGUCAAGAUCUCUUUAUUCUGUAACCCAUUUAAAAAAAAAACAAUGUAACCAGAUGUUGUGGAGCUACAAAGAAUUAAAAUCAAAGAGUUAUAAUAAAAAUUCAAGGGUUUUUGUUUUUGCUUUUUGGCUUUUUCUCAUGUUUAGAAAAGAGAUGGUAUGGUGUAGUGCUAGGGCAGCUAGGUGGCACAAUGAAUAGAGUGCAAGGCUCAGAGUCAGGAAAACCUGAGUUCAAGUUUUAUCUCAAACAUUUCAUAGCUGUUGACCCUAGGCAAAUCAUUUAAUCCAGUUUGGCUCAGUUUCUUCAUCUGUAAAAUGAUCUAGGAAAGGAAAUAGCAAACCACUCCAGUAUGUUUGCUAAGGAAAUUCCCAAGAAUGGCUGAGCAAAUUGUGGUAUCUUAUGGUGAUGGAAUACUACCAUGCUGUAAGAAAUGACGAAUUAGAGGAUUUCUAUAUGAUCUGGAAGAACCUCCACAAAUUGAUGCAGAGUGAAAUGAGCAGAAUCAGAACAUUAUACACAGAAAGUGAAACAUUGUGGAACAAUCCAAUGUAAGGGGCUCUGCUACUUGUAGCAAUGCAUUGAUCCAGGACACUCCUAAAGGACUUAUGAGAAAGAAUGCUAUCCACAUUGAGAGAAAGAACUGUGGGAGUAGAAACACAGAAGAAAAGCCUAUUACUUAUCAUUCGUUUAUAGGGCUAUAUGAUUUGGAUUUUUGGUUUUAAAAGACUGCUUUAUUGCAAAAAUGAAUAAUAUGGAAAUAAGUAUGUGAUAGCAUUUGUAUAACCCAGUAGAAGGGCUUAUUGGCUCUGGGAUGGGGAAGGGGGAAAACGAAGGGAAAGAAAAUGAAUCAUGUAAACAUGGAAAAAUAGGUUUUUAAUUUUAAAAAAUAAAUCCCCCAAAAGGUCACAAAGAUUCAGACAUAACUGAAUAACUAAAUAACAUGAUGUGUAGUGCUAAAGAGCCAGCCUCAAAGCUAAGAAUAUCUCAGUUAAGUCUUGCCUCUGACCCAAUAUGGCUACAAGACUUUUGGAAAGUUAUUUAACUUUUUAGUGCCUAGGCGAUCUCUAAGACUAAAAGUUGCAGAGAAGCUAUAAGGCUGCUUUGGUACAAGAAAUUUCCUCACCUAUGAAAUCACAGGUUCAAUCCCUAGUCCCUUAAAUAGUAACUUAGAAACAUAUCCUAAAGCAGGAAGAGAAGUCCCUGGUCCCAAGAAUAGCAUUGUCAAAUGUAAACAAAUUUCUCCUUAAUAAAAAAAAAAUUUUUUUUAAACCACUUUGGGGACAGCCAGGUGGCUUAGAAUUUUGAAAGCCAGGCUUAGAGACAGGAGGUCCUGGGUUCAAAUUUGAACUCAAACACUUGCUAGCUGUGUGACCCUGAGCAAGUCACUUGCCAAGACCUUGCCACUCUUCUGCCUUGGAACCAAUAUGCAAUAUUGAUUCUAAGAGAAAAGGUAAGGGUUUUUUAAAAAAGCACAUGCAGAUGCAGAAUAUCUGAGUUUAAAUAACAAGCUCUGCAUGUGACUUUGGGAAAGCCAUUUCACUUCCCUUGACUUCAGUUUUCUCAUCUAUAAAAUGGGAUUGGGGACAGGUUGGGCUAGUUGGCUUCUUGAGAUCUCUUCUGGCUCUAAAUCUUAUGUUUUUUCUUCAUUAAUUUUAUCAGAGGAAGGUACUCUGAAAAGUAGGGAAUUUCAUGUCUCGGUUGAACACAGUAAAUUUUUAAAUCUAAAGCAUGCAUUAGAAAGCUUUUCUGGCAUAUACUAACAAUUGCUAUGAAAUGCUAAACUUUAUUUGAAUUACUUAGAUGAGACUCUUUAGACACCUCUCAAAACAUGAGAAAAUACUUUUGAAAAGGCUUCCAGAAAGACUUCUUGGACUUCUUUUUAAUAUACUCUCCAUUGCUACUAAAUAUUUAAUGGUCCUAGCAGUCAGCUUUUUUUGUUGAAAAUUAACUUUCUAGCCAGAGGUACAAGAAAUUCACACUAAGCCCCUACAAUCUUUUAAUCUCUUAGUAAAUUUAAGUGUUAUUUUUGUAAUGUUUUGCAUUUUUUCUGUUAUGAAUCAGGAUUGUUGUAAUAUUUCUACUCUAGUAUCUAGACUAAUAUUUUGGACAUUAUUAUUGUUUUUAUUUAAAAUGACUUGACAACUCUGCCUCAGGUUUGGGGGUAGGAUGGGGAACAUCUAUCAAUAUCCAUGCUAAAAGGAAUAUUUUUUUUCUGCAGUACUAAUUUGAGUGUAUAUUUUAGGGACUGGGAUUAAAGGGAUGCUACUUUAGAGACUUCAUUCUUGGUCUUUUUUUUUUUUAUGAAAAAAAUUAACAAGGUUUUUAUAACACUAAGUGUCAAAUAAGUUAAGUCUUUCCACUUUGAACAGAGAAUAAUUAGCCAUGUUUUUCAACUUUUUAUUUUUUAGAACUUGUUUGUUUUACUGUAUUUUUUGCACUUUAUAACAAAAAAAGUGAAUACAAGUUACAUUGAAACAUUAGGUGAUCUUUAUUUUAUUUUAUUUUAUUUUAUUUUUAUUUUUUAUGACUGAAACCAACAGAAUGGUUCAAUUUGUCAUCAGUGUUAUUCACAUUGUAUCUAUAGUUAUCUUUCCAAAUAAUUGUAUUGACUUAGUGGAGAUUGUAUGUUAAAUGUAUCAGGUUGUGAAAUUGUGUAGUUUAGGUAAACACUAAAUCCAUUUAUUUUUGUAUGGCAGAAUUUUAGAAUUAGAAUUAUGUAGACCAUAUUAGAUGUUAAAGAUUAUACAAUAAAGGACUUGGCAAAUCAAAAAAAAAAAAAAA
Molecule: long non-coding RNA, 3325 nt
Organism: Monodelphis domestica (gray short-tailed opossum)
Lineage: Eukaryota; Metazoa; Chordata; Mammalia; Didelphimorphia; Didelphidae
Source: RefSeq, a predicted model, not a curated record